Molecule: long non-coding RNA, 643 nt
Organism: Humulus lupulus (European hop)
Lineage: Eukaryota; Viridiplantae; Streptophyta; Magnoliopsida; Rosales; Cannabaceae
Exons: 3
Source: RefSeq, a predicted model, not a curated record
AAUAAAAAAAAUUAAUGGUCACAUAUAUGGAAAAUGGUGGCUGGCCAUGUGCUAUUUUAGAGUGGUGUGAACCCAAUUUUAUAAAAUUCAAAUCCCAUUUAAUUAAGAAGUCAAGUGGGCAAGUGGGUAGAAAAGCACUCAAGUGUUUUGUGAUAUUUUGAAGAGUUGUGUGAGCCAUUCUAACCCCCAAAUCCGACCACUCUCCCUCCCUCAUUCACUCUCAUCUGAUUUUUGAAGACUCUCUCAAGUGUUCUCUCCAUUUUCAACCCCAAGAACACCAAAGAAACUUGGAAGCUAAGUCUUGGUCUAGGAAGGGUUUUCCCUAAGUUGGUUAGGGUUUUUGAAAGGUUUUGAAGGAGUCAAAGCUUAUAGGAAGGUCCAAACCUUAAGCAAGAACACCAAAGAGGUAAGAACAAGGGCAAGGCAGAGCAGUGAGCGCUGGAGUCUUCCUUGCAAAUGUACAUGUGGACCGACCUUUUGGGGAAGCCUUUUUAUUUUUGGAAAUGUUGUGUAAUUUUCCUAAACUAGGCUCACUCUAAUCUUUAUAAAACAUGUUUGUAACUAAAUGUUAAGUAUGGCCAUACGACUUUUUAAAAAGUUUUUUUUUUUUCUAUGGGUUUUUGAGACAUUUUGUUAAAUGAAA